RNAcentral lists this ribosomal RNA (664 nucleotides) under Desmodesmus maximus. Its description in RNAcentral is "eukaryotic LSU rRNA". The stretch from base 212 to 365 matches the Rfam family "5.8S ribosomal RNA". The record is from RNAcentral. Lineage: Eukaryota; Viridiplantae; Chlorophyta; Chlorophyceae; Sphaeropleales; Scenedesmaceae.
GGAAAGUAAAAAGUCGUAACAAGGUUUCCGUAGGUGAACCUGCGGAAGGAUCAUUGAAUAUGCAAACCACAACACGCACUCUUUAUUUGUGUACCGACGUUAAGUCACACACGCAAGUGUGUGCUUACUAACCUACACACCAUUGUCCAACCAAUGUCAAAACAAACUCUGAAGCUUUGGCUGCUGUUAACCGGCAGUUUUAACCAAGAACAACUCUCAACAACGGAUAUCUUGGCUCUCGCAACGAUGAAGAACGCAGCGAAAUGCGAUACGUAGUGUGAAUUGCAGAAUUCCGUGAACCAUCGAAUCUUUGAACGCAUAUUGCGCUCGACUCCUCGGAGAAGAGCAUGUCUGCCUCAGCGUCGGUUUUCACCCUCAACCCUCUUAUUUUCACAGUAAGCUUGCUGUGUUUGCUCAAACCAGCAUAUGGGUUGGAUCUGGCUUUCCCAACGCAUGCAAUUGUGUUGGGUUGGCUGAAGCAUAGAGGCUUAAACUGGGACCCGUUUCGGGCUCAACUGGAUAGGUAGCAACACCCUCGGGUGCCUACACGAAGUUGAGUCUGUGGACCUGGUUAGGAGCCAAGCAGGAAACACGUCUUUGGCGUGUAUCAUGGGUUCGACCUGAGCUCAGGCAAGGCUACCCGCUGAACUUAAGCAUAUCAAUA